GAUGAACGCUGGCGGUGUGCCUAAUACAUGCAAGUCGAGCGACCAGACGAGGAGCUUGCUCCUCUGACGUUAGCGGCGGACGGGCGAGUAACACGUGGAUAACCUACCUCUAAGUCUGGGAUAACUUCGGGAAACAGGAGCCACUAACGCAUAAUAUAUUGAACCGCAUGGAUCAAUAGUGAAAGACGGUUUUGCUGUCACUUAUAGAUGGAUCCGCGUCGCAUUAGCUAGUUGGUAAGGUAACGGCGUACCAAGGCAACGAUGCGUAGCCGACCUGAGAGGGUGAUCGGCCACACUGGAACUGAGACACGGUCCAGACUCCUACGGGAGGCAGCAGUAGGGAAUCUUCCGCAAUGGGCGAAAGCCUGACGGAGCAACGCCGCGUGAGUGAAGAAGGUCUUCGGAUCGUAAAACUCUGUUAUUAGGGAAGAACAAAUGUAUAAGUAACUAUGCACGUCUUGACGGUACCUAAACAGAAAGCCACGGCUAACUACGUG
Molecule: ribosomal RNA, 497 nt
Filed under: uncultured bacterium
Lineage: Bacteria
Description: partial 16S ribosomal RNA
Rfam family: Bacterial small subunit ribosomal RNA
Source: RNAcentral